CGACGGAGCUGUGGAGGCGGCGGACGUCCAGACGCAGGGAGAUCUGAAUUUGUGAGGGAGGAGCUUCGAGGGAGAAAAGAGAGGCGAAUCUGGUGGUGAGCGGAGAGAGAGCCGCGGCGGCGGUGCUUGCCGGUUUCUCAGUGACGGCGAAGGCGGAGAUCUCGUCGUUCCAGUAGCUGAGCGCGCUGCUGUGGCGCGAGAUCACGCGCGCGCAGAGGCUGCCGGCAGGAGAAACAACGAUGGCCUCGGCGGAAAUUGGGCACAGCGGCGGGCGAGUUUGCUUCGCCGGAUUUCGGAGCAGCAGAGACGAGCCCUCAUUGAAGAAAGGGAGUCGCCUGUUAUGUUGAGAGAGAGAGAGAGAUGAGAUUGAGAGGGAGAUAUCGG
RNAcentral lists this long non-coding RNA (384 nucleotides) under Salvia miltiorrhiza (redroot sage). RNAcentral describes it as "long non-coding RNA (SMIL_LNC013060)". Lineage: Eukaryota; Viridiplantae; Streptophyta; Magnoliopsida; Lamiales; Lamiaceae. The record is from RNAcentral.